This 857-nucleotide ribosomal RNA is filed under the name uncultured bacterium. RNAcentral's name for it is "bacterial SSU rRNA". It matches the Rfam family "Bacterial small subunit ribosomal RNA", at positions 8 to 903 of the family's 1533-position model. The record is from RNAcentral.
AGAGUUUGAUCAUGGCUCAGGAUGAACGCUGGCGGUAUGCCUAACACAUGCAAGUCAUACGAGAGUUUUUAACUCAAGUGGCGGACGGGUGAGUAACACGUGAGAAUUCACCUUUAGGAGGGGGACAACAACUGGAAACGGUUGCUAAUACCCCAUAUGCUUUCGAGUGAAAUGAAUUUAUUCGCCUGAAGAGAAGCUCGCGGCUGAUUAGCUUGUUGGUAGGGUAAGAGCCUACCAAGGCGACGAUCAGUAUCUGGUUUGAGAGGACGAUCAGACACACUGGAACUGAGACACGGUCCAGACUCCUACGGGAGGCAGCAGUGGGGAAUUUUCCGCAAUGGGCGAAAGCCUGACGGAGCAAUACCGCGUGAGGGAAGACGGCCUAUGGGUUGUAAACCUCUUUUUUCAGGGAGGAAUUCAAUGACGUGUACCUGAAGAAUAAGCAUCGGCUAACUCCGUGCCAGCAGCCGCGGUAAGACGGAGGAUGCAAGUGUUAUCCGGAAUCACUGGGCGUAAAGCGUCUGUAGGUUGUUAAACAAGUCAACUGUUAAAUCUUGAGGCUCAACUUCAAAAUCGCAGUCGAAACUGUUUGACUAGAGUAUAGUAGGGGUAAAGGGAAUUUCCAGUGGAGCGGUGAAAUGCGUAGAUAUUGGAAAGAACACCAAUGGCGAAGGCACUUUACUGGGCUAUUGCUGACACUCAGAGACGAAAGCUAGGGUAGCAAAUGGGAUUAGAUACCCCAAUAGUCCUAGCCGUAAACAAUGGAUACUAGAUGUUGAACAGAUCGACCUGUGCAGUAUCAAAGCUAACGCGUUAAGUAUCCCGCCUGGGAAGUAUGCUCGCAAGAGUGAAACUCA